Long non-coding RNA from Brachypodium distachyon (stiff brome), 465 nucleotides. RefSeq lists it as uncharacterized. The record is from RefSeq and is a predicted model, not a curated record. The transcript is spliced from 2 exons. NCBI's taxonomy places the organism in Eukaryota, Viridiplantae, Streptophyta, Magnoliopsida, Poales, Poaceae.
CGAUCUCACACUUUGGUCCAUGAAAAGCUCAUGAAGGUCAUGCACAAGCAUGGUAGAAAAGUUUAUGCAUGGACUGUUGACGAUGGUGACUCCAUGAAGAGGAUGAUGCAUGAGCAGGUUGAUGCAAUUGUGACUGGAAAUCCUUCCCUCCUGCAGCAGCUGAUGCAGGAGACUAGAACAGAGUGCACGGAAGAUGGUUUUGCCUUGCCGUAAGGAUGAGUACCAACCCCGUUGCAUUCCACGGUGAUUCUUGAUGACUGCAUGACGUGGGAGAAGAAAGAUAUAAAACGGUUCCCUGUCUCGCAUGGAGAUGAACUGUGAUUUUUAGCACGUUUUUAGGAUUCAAAUGAUAUAGUUCUUUCUCUGGUGACACAAUUGGAUCAGAGGGUUGAAAAGACAGAUCAUUUUUUUCCUCUUUUCUUGAAGACAAGUCUGAGUUUGUGAAAAUGUUCCUAUUCACGUGGA